GCGGGAGUAUCAGCUGGCUGGCUGGAGCUGGCCAAGCCCCUCCUCUCCUCCUCCUGCUUCCCCCUCCAUCCAGGCUCCACCGGGAACCUGUCCCAGACGCCUACCCCGCCUGAGCCAGAGGAAGGGAGGAAAACAAUAGCAAAAACCAGGACCCUUCGGACUUGCCGCUGAAUGGGGAUUUUCGUCGGAUGUUGAGUUUACCUGGAAUGCCCCGGUGUUAUUUUGGGAAGGCAGACAUCCCACGGAAACAAUGAAGUGGAAAAGAAAACAGCUAAAGCAAAAUCUAGAGCCCAGUUUUUGCCAAACCAGCCCCACGUGGGCUGGGCAGGCUCUGGAAGCCCAAGUCAGGCCGAUGAAGAGCGGCUGAGGCCGUGGGGAUCUGGUUUACCAGGAGGGCACAUGGAGGAUGCAAGAAAAGGAAGAGCCGUAUUCAAGUCCCCACUUCAGUGAUGAGGCAGAAAGACCCUGCGCCUGACCACGUGGGAACAGCCUGCAGUGAGCGGUGACGCCGCCUGGCUUGAGCUAAGUGCUGGGCUCCACCAUUCAUUGGCUGAGUGACCUUAGAUGAGAAGAGAAUGAGCCAUGUGUUUCCUGAAACAUCCAGUGGCCUCACCGGAGAAUCUGCAAGAGCCGGUAAACCCAGAAGCUUGGCCGUCCAUUCCUGGAAGCAGACAUUGUGUCUUCGUCCACCAAGCCCCUGGCUCUCAACACUCACUGUGGUGGCAAGAACAUGGCACCUUGACCCUACACAGUUCUUCCAUUUUUCAGAAGCAGGUGAGCACAGAUUGCUGGGAUGGAGUGAGUAAAAGAUAUAAACUGGACUGGGCACGGUUGCUCGCACCUGUAAUCCCAGCACUUUGGGAGGCCGAAGCGGGCGGAUCGCUUGAGCUCAGGAGUUCGAGAUUAGUCUAGGCAACAUAGUGAGAAGCUAUCUUAAAAAAAAUUUAAAUAAAAGUUAUAAACCAAGGCUUGGGGUUUCUGGGUGCUUUGCCAGGACCUGUUCUUGGGCAGAACUGAAUAUAUACUCAAUUCUGAGGAGGGAAGAGGAAGGUCAUGGCUAAAAGGUAGGCUCUGAAAUCAGACUCCCGGAGCUCAAAUCCCAGCACUCUCUGCUUGCCACUUAGACUUCAGGUAGGGGAGGGGGAUAUAAAUGUUUGAGCCUCAGUCCCCUCCUCUGUAAAAUGGGGGCAGUAAAUGUACUGCACACAGCUGCAAGGUGUGAAUGAGGCGAUGCACGUAAAACACAGUGCCUAUAGUAUCACAUUGGGGUUUUUUGGUGUUUUUUGUUUUUGUUUUUGUUUUUUUGACAGAGGGUCUCACUCUGUCACCCAGGCUGGAGUGCAAUGGAGUGAUCUCAGCUCACUGCAGCCUUGACCUCCUGGGCUCAACCACUUUUCCCACCUCUGCCUUCAAAGUAGCUGGGACUAUAGCCAUGUGCUACCACGCCCAGCUAAUUUUUGCAUUUUUUUGUAGAGAUGGGGUUUCACCAUAUUGCCCAGGCUGGUCUAGAACUCCUGAGCUCGAGUGAUCCACCCGCCUCGACCUCCCAAAGUGCUGGGAUUACAGACGUGUGCCACCAUGCUCAGCCCCACACUCGUCUUUAAGAAAAUUAAAAUAAAAUUGUUUUAAACACAGUGUCUGGCACAGAAUAGAUGCUCAAUAAACACCAGCUGCUACAAUUAGAGGGGAAAUCAUCAUAAUUGUUGGAUUAAAACAUAAUAAAAGACCCCAGUUGCCUUGUUCAAGGCAGUAUUUUCAGAAGCAAAGUUUUAAAAGUUUAAAAAGAGGUCAGUAUUUUAAGUCAUGUCAGCUCCACAGCCACGGAAGUGCUGGAAAGGCACCAAGCCUCCUCUCGGUUUGCAGUGAAACGCUCCUCUUCCGUCUGAGGGCUAUCGUUCCAGCAGAGAUCAACACAAUGGACUCUGGGAUGGACAUUGUUCUCCAACAGGCCUGGCCCUGGCCCAGCUGGGGUGAGCAUUUCCUUUGCAGCAUUCCAAGAGGCGACAGUCCCAAAAGAUAAUUAAAAAUCAGCUAGCGGUGGUGACCAAGAGAAAGGCACUGAGCCCUCCGAGUGUGGAGAUAGGGCAUCCCGGGUUAUUAAUUAAGUGUGCUCACAUUUGCAUGGUGUAGAGGACAAUUAUCAAGCUGGAGCUGUCAGCUUUAAAUGCUGUUUGCAUUUCUGGAUGACUUUUUGGCGAAGAGGGUCAGGGAGGCUCUCUAAAGUCAUUUUUGGGAGUCUGGAGGAAUAGUUAGCAAUUCGCACUUCACCUCGUUUUACCCUGCAACUCCAUGGAAAUUCCAGAAAGUCUUGGUUUUAAUGGUCUCUUGCAUAGGCCCAUGACAUGGGUCAUCUCUCUCCUACCUCCUUCCAUGCUGAACAAAUGGAAAGGCAUGUAACAUAGUGUGGCAAGGACUUAGGAGUCCAGAAGCUCCCAGAUGUGUGCACCUGUGGAAUCCGCCACCACACCCUCCACACACCAGCCUCUGCAACCAGACAGAGAGAGGAGAGGUAAGGGGUGAGGAUGUGAUUGAUUUCCAUCCUCGGCCCUCCAAGGAGGAGGCUGCCAAAGAAAACAAAGGCCACUGCAGGGGGGCAGCUCGUGGUGACAACCUGCACUGGGGCCGGAGGGCAGCCAGCAUGGCACCUGGAUCUGAUCAAGAUGAAGUUUUCAUCCCCAUCUGCCUGUUAAUGUCUUCUUUACCAGUUGCCACCCCCUAAUAAGGGGUAUGCCGUAGACUGGAAGUCACUAGGGACCUGCCCAGCAUCCUGUUCUAGGCAUUGACUAAUCCACUCUCCUACAUCCUGCCUCCCAUCCACAUGGUCCAAUCAGAGGCUGCCAUGCUUGCACAAUGUGACACUGUCUCUAUGGACACAUUAAUUGGUCCUGAUGUAGAACUUGACCCAAGAUCAGGGUCAAGUUGAGAGAAGACUUAUUUUCUUUCCAGGUGUUUCAAUAACAUGUAAAACUUGGAAUUCGAUAGCAGCCAUCUUCUGCCAUGAGAAUUGGGAAGAGAGAAAGCCUAUAGUGAUAAUAAAGUCAAAU
This 3044-nucleotide long non-coding RNA is filed under the name Homo sapiens (human). RNAcentral's name for it is "HSALNT0029517". The record is from RNAcentral. Lineage: Eukaryota; Metazoa; Chordata; Mammalia; Primates; Hominidae.